UGCCCAUGACAGGGGGUUGGAACUGAAUGAGCUUAAAGCUCUCUUCAAACCCAAACCAGUCUGGGAUUCUAUGAGUGUGCAGGGUCUCGAGCCAUGUCUGUGCUUUAUGGUGAUGCUGUGGACAGAGAGGUGUCUUCUGAGGUGGCCAAAAUCAGGAGACAGGAUGCUUUGGCCUAUGGGGGUAUGAAGCAGAUCUGCCAAGCAGUGAGGAGAAGACCAAGCUGGAGCACAAGGUGAAGGGUGCUCUCCAAAUACCUUUGCAAGUUUUCCCUUCUGCAACAACAGCAGAAAGAACUUCACAACUUUCUCUGAUGACUCCAGACUCUGGGCUUAAAGGACAAAACUGAAUGCUGAGCAUGAGCUAGCCGGACAUCACUGUGGUCUAGGCUGUGUUAAAAGCUGCACAGGGUGCAGGCACAUGUCUGCAGACACCCCAGCUGAUUUCAGAGGAGCAUCUUCUACCAGAGGAGGUGAGAAUGAGCUCUUCUAAUCUGCUGAGGAAAUUUCUCUCCUUGGUCUCGGCGCUUUUGACGUGAGAAUAAUGUGAUACAGCCAAUUUCAUGGAGGCUGUUGAGAGCCUGGCAAUCUAACGCUGAGUGUGGCCCCAGAACCACAGUGAGGUGAGCCAUUGUGAGCACGAGGCCUCACCUCUUCAUUUCUUGGCCCAGGAGUGAGCAAACUGCCUGCUGGCUUCUGCA
Long non-coding RNA from Melopsittacus undulatus (budgerigar), 698 nucleotides. RefSeq lists it as uncharacterized. NCBI's taxonomy places the organism in Eukaryota, Metazoa, Chordata, Aves, Psittaciformes, Psittaculidae. The transcript has 3 exons. The record is from RefSeq and is a predicted model, not a curated record.